UAAGAACUUGACAAAUGCAAGGACUUUUAGCUUAUAUAUACGGAUAAACUAGACAGGGAUAUCUCCAAACCAAGACGUGGUAUUCUGUCCAACGAAGAAUGCCAUAAAACAUGUGACUGUGAGAGAAUGAACUAUGUACUGAUUCCCAUCCUGAUAUUUGCCGCAAUUUGUCUACUGUUUGUAAAGCCGGGCUGCCUAUUUUAUGCGCAUGCGUGCGCAUAUUCAAACGGUCUCUUCAUUGAUGUGAUCCCAAGUUUAUUUCAGAUCGUUGUGUUUAUGUUUAUUUGGAUAGAGUACAUUUUGAAACCAUUAUUUAAAAAGAAAAGGUUCGUUGUUUCGGGUGUCUAAAUAAACAUUUAGCAUUAUUAUGAUUUAUAAGCUUCGAAGCGUUGUAUAAGUGUCACGGUGUGUGGCAACAUGAUGUCAAAUUACUCAUAAUUACGCAAACUAAGCGUUUAGUUUGGCAAUUAAAAUUCGACUCAGUA
Molecule: long non-coding RNA, 485 nt
Organism: Dreissena polymorpha
Lineage: Eukaryota; Metazoa; Mollusca; Bivalvia; Myida; Dreissenidae
Exons: 2
Source: RefSeq, a predicted model, not a curated record